AGAAGUUCUGACGGUACUUGAGGAAUCAGCCUCGGCUAACUCCGUGCCAGCAGCCGCGGUAAUACGGGGGAGGCAAGCGUUAUCCGGAAUUAUUGGGCGUAAAGCGUCCGCAGGUGGUCAGCCAAGUCUGCCGUCAAAUCAGGUUGCUUAACGACCUAAAGGCGGUGGAAACUGGCAGACUAGAGAGCAGUAGGGGUAGCAGGAAUUCCCAGUGUAGCGGUGAAAUGCGUAGAGAUUGGGAAGAACAUCGGUGGCGAAAGCGUGCUA
RNAcentral lists this ribosomal RNA (267 nucleotides) under uncultured Microcystis sp. RNAcentral describes it as "partial 16S ribosomal RNA". It matches the Rfam family "Bacterial small subunit ribosomal RNA", at positions 462 to 728 of the family's 1533-position model. Lineage: Bacteria; Bacillati; Cyanobacteriota; Cyanophyceae; Chroococcales; Microcystaceae. The record is from RNAcentral.